RNAcentral lists this ribosomal RNA (330 nucleotides) under uncultured eukaryote. Its description in RNAcentral is "partial 18S ribosomal RNA". It matches the Rfam family "Eukaryotic small subunit ribosomal RNA", at positions 1470 to 1796 of the family's 1831-position model. The record is from RNAcentral.
CCCUUAGAUGUUCUGGGCCGCACGCGCGCUACACUGACGAAGUCAGUGAGCAUCUCCUACGCCGAAAGGUGCGGGGAAUCUUGUGAAACUUUGUCGUGCUGGGGAUUGAUUUUUGAAAUUCUUGAUCAUCAACGAGGAAUUCCUAGUAAGCGCAAGUCAGCAGCUUGCGUUGAUUACGUCCCUGCCCUUUGUACACACCGCCCGUCGCUACUACCGAUUGAAUGGUUUAGUGAGAUUUUUGGACUGGAACUCUCUUGUUCAGCAAUGAACGAGAGGGACUCUGGGAAGCUAUUCUAACUGUAUCAUUUAGAGGAAGUAAAAGUCGUAACA